Molecule: long non-coding RNA, 445 nt
Organism: Macrobrachium nipponense
Lineage: Eukaryota; Metazoa; Arthropoda; Malacostraca; Decapoda; Palaemonidae
Exons: 3
Source: RefSeq, a predicted model, not a curated record
AAACUGCUGAGAAUGUGAGUCUUCGCGGGUGUUGGAAGGUCCUUGAACAUCUACAAGAUUGUUGUAUGUACGUUGAAGAUUUCGGCAUUAUAGUCGCCCUCGAAGACUAUAACACAUCUACUUUCCUCUGGACUAAAUUUCGUAACUAUGCUUUAUUCUAUAACAAAAGGUUGUUGGUAAGAACAGAGCAGCAAUUAAAAUUAAUGCUGGUAAGAAACCUAGAGCAAGAGCAACAAUUACUUUUUAACUCCUAUACCACUGGGAUAGCUACGAAGGUUCAUGAAAGUUGACUUUAAGAUCCUAGGAUAGCAACAGAACUUUCAUUGGUUGUGCCUACAGAAAUAAUGAACUGGGAUGACUGGUGUUUAAUCAUAGGUUCUACACAGUAAGUUUUGAGUAUCCGGAGAAACUGGUGUUUUUGUUGAUAUAAAAUUUAUUCGUGUAA